GAAAUCAAAGAAAUGAAAAGGACUGGGAAAGCAAAUAUCCUGAAGAACUCGAAAUGGCUAGAGUCUCUGGAAGGGAAAGAGGAAGGAUUUACCUGUGCCAGCCCGGUGAAGAGAAGAGUGGAACAGAGGAGCCCCUGCAUGUCGCUGGGAUGCAGCUGGCCUGAGAGAUGGGAAAGUGGGGGCUCCUCAUGCUGGGGACACACAAAGCUUCCCUGUCUUCUCUGAAGGAGCCGCCUCCACCUCCGGGCACUGGCUUCCACACUGGCUUUCCUUUCAGUACCCUGCUUACUUUCAUGUGUCUCUUCCAGAAAUACCUUCACAGCUAGGAUGAAGUGUGUCAGGAGAGAGCCAGGGCUUUCCUCCAGGGAUUCAAGGGCAGAUCCAGCGAUGGCUUUUCUUUAAGUAAAUGUGCUCCCUUUUCCGGAGAUCAGAGUCUGCCCUUGGGCAAAAUGGAGGCAUUACUUUCCAUUCCUGGCCCUCUGCCUCUCCUCUGUGAUUUCCCUGCUCCAGCUCCUCUCUGGGCUGCUUUCCUUCCUCCUUUGCCCUCAAGCAGAGGGCUAGCCUGGUCUCUCCGCUUCCUGCCUCAUCACAGCCUGGCCCUGUUGAUGGGUUUCUCACUUCCCAUCAACAACCAAUUUCUAAAAGGCCAUUUCUGAUUCGCCAGCUGUUGACUUUCGGACGUUUCCACAUGCUCUCCAUUAAACACAUUCCUCACACCAGGUGGACCAUGAUUGGAAAGGAAAAACCCAGCCUGAGAAAAGCUACUUUCUGUGGCCACAAUUCCAUGGCAAAUAAAAGUAAAGCUAACUCCAAUCUUUCCAAGCCUAUGAUCAAACAUUUGUGCUAGUAACAGUCAUUUGGAUUAAAGUUUUGUUUUAAAAACUUA
This is a non-coding RNA of Marmota flaviventris (yellow-bellied marmot), 886 nucleotides long. Lineage: Eukaryota; Metazoa; Chordata; Mammalia; Rodentia; Sciuridae. The record is from RefSeq and is a predicted model, not a curated record.